Molecule: ribosomal RNA, 466 nt
Filed under: uncultured bacterium
Lineage: Bacteria
Description: partial 16S ribosomal RNA
Rfam family: Bacterial small subunit ribosomal RNA
Source: RNAcentral
GAUGAACGCUGGCGGCGUGCUUAACACAUGCAAGUCGAACGGAAAGGCCAGUGCUUGCACUGGUGCUCGAGUGGCGAACGGGUGAGUAACACGUGGGUGAUCUGCCCUGCACUUUGGGAUAAGCCUGGGAAACUGGGUCUAAUACCAGAUAGGACCAUGCUUUGGAUGGUGUGGUGGAAAGUUUUUUCGGUGUGGGAUGAGCUUGCGGCCUAUCAGCUUGUUGGUGGGGUAAUGGCCUACCAAGGCGUCGACGGGUAGCCGGCCUGAGAGGGUGUACGGCCACAUUGGGACUGAGAUACGGCCCAGACUCCUACGGGAGGCAGCAGUGGGGAAUAUUGCACAAUGGGCGCAAGCCUGAUGCAGCGACGCCGCGUGGGGGAUGACGGCCUUCGGGUUGUAAACUCCUUUCGCAACUGACGAAGCUUUUUGUGACGGUAGGUUGAGAAGAAGCACCGGCUAACUACGU